RNAcentral lists this unclassified non-coding RNA (344 nucleotides) under soil metagenome. RNAcentral's name for it is "partial contains 5.8S ribosomal RNA, internal transcribed spacer 2, and large subunit ribosomal RNA". The stretch from base 1 to 121 matches the Rfam family "5.8S ribosomal RNA", at positions 35 to 154 of the family's 154-position model. The record is from RNAcentral.
GAUGAAGAACGCAGCGAAAUGCGAUAAGUAAUGCGAAUUGCAGAAUUUCCGUGAGUCAUCGAAUCUUUGAACGCACAUUGCGCCCGCCAGCAUUCUGGCGGGCAUGCCUGUUCGAGCGUCAUUUCAACCCUCGACCUCCCCUUGGGGAGGUCGGCGUUGGGGACCGGCAGCACACCGCCGGCCCUGAAAUGGAGUGGCGGCCCGUCUGCGGCGACCUCUGCGUAGUAAUACAGCUCGCACCGGAACCCCGACGCGGCCACGCCGUAAAACACCCAACUUCUGAACGUUGACCUCGAAUCAGGUAGGACUACCCGCUGAACUUAAGCAUAUCAAUAAGCGGAGGA